AGAAGGUAUUGUGAAAACUGCUUUGCUGUUGUGUGUUAUAAAUUCUCUGAAUAAUAUAUAAUGUACUCGAUAUAAAAAUGGCACUUUGGUUGUUUCAAUUAUGUAUUACCACCCAUGUAGUAGUUUACGUAAUUGUAAAUAACUUUACAAGUCUAAUGUGUAGUAAGAUGGAAAUUAUAGUUCAAAACGUCUGAAAAGGUGGAGUUACACUGGUCAAGAAGUGCCUCUUUCUGUUCUCAUUAGGUGCUCACUGGUAGCCUAAUUGCCAAGUUGACGUCUGUGUCAGACCAAUAUCUCUGUACUCACUUGGCCAUCUGCAUGCUGUAAUUGCAACGGCGUAUCGUACUAGUUUGUUGCAAUAGCAGUUUGCGUAUACUGUAUUAGAAAUAUUCUAGCACAGUAAACGACAGACUACUAUGCCUUACCGUCGACAUCCAUAUUUGUACUGUACUUGUGUGAUUAGUAUCUCUGCAAGCA
Molecule: long non-coding RNA, 477 nt
Organism: Corticium candelabrum
Lineage: Eukaryota; Metazoa; Porifera; Homoscleromorpha; Homosclerophorida; Plakinidae
Exons: 2
Source: RefSeq, a predicted model, not a curated record